AGAGCACAUGGGGCAACUUUUCAUCUGAACUAGGCCUGAGGCUUUCUCUCUUUGGUCGUUCAUUCAUUUCCCUGAGAGUUACUGAUUUUUAGGAGAGAAGCUGGCUGCCCUCCCUCCACACAAGGGAGCGAUGUGAUCUGAGGUUAGCCGGGCUGCUCCCCGCAAGGGCAGCCAGGCAUAAGGGAUGCAUUGAGUUUCAGCUCAGGCAAAUAUUUGGUCAGCGCCUUCCUCCAACAGGACACUCCGAGCUAGGGGCUCCCAGAGCUCGGGGAGAGGGAAUGCAAGGCAGGAGGGACAAAACUGCAAUUGAGUAAGCUUACCCAGCCUGUUUACCCAGCUUUUGAAAUCUUGGCCUUUAUCCUCAGUUACGGCCUGUCCUUUCGGUAGCUUCAUACGAUUAUCACAGAUUGACACCUGGUGGUGAAAAUGGGAGAUCCUAUGACAAAGGCUACACAUCUCCUGACACAGAUGAUAAACCUUAAAGGUGCAAAGUUCUAGACAUAUGAUCAGUGUUGGAAACUCCUGGAGUGAAAAUUUUCUACUGAUAGAGAGCACUAAGAGGAGGACCUUCCAGCGUCAAAGGGUGCAGAAGAUGUUGGGCUUUCCACCUUCCCAUUGAUGUCCUAAGUGACAUCCCUAGAUCAGUUGGAGGCAGCGUCUUCAAUGGGAUCCAAGGACUAAAUGGAUAGGUGAAACCGAGGCCAACAAAAGUUUUGCUCUGAAGACUGAGUCCUGGUGCCAUCUGCUGGGAAUCGUCACAACUGCAGAAACAUCUUCUAUUGUGGAACUGAACAUUCUUUCAGAGUGUUGCUCAUUGGACCAUGUCUUUAUUUUCUAAGAGACCUCAUGCGAGCUCAAUUUUUUUCCCCUUUCAUGUUUCAGGAACAUUUUCCUUCUUUAAUUUUAUGAACUAUGUGCCUGAAAGAGAGGGAGAGUGUUAAGGGGCAAGGGGAAUUGUUGAUGAUAUAACUUAGUGGUAUUAGGUAUUUUCCCAAAUUUUGAGUGAGGGUUACUAGCUGGAGAAUUAAGAAAUUCCUCCCAACGUGAACCUUUAUCUCUUUGUAUUGUGAGAACAUAUGAUAUGAGUUACAGUAAU
Long non-coding RNA from Vombatus ursinus (common wombat), 1096 nucleotides. RefSeq lists it as uncharacterized. The transcript has 5 exons. Lineage: Eukaryota; Metazoa; Chordata; Mammalia; Diprotodontia; Vombatidae. The record is from RefSeq and is a predicted model, not a curated record.